This 718-nucleotide ribosomal RNA is filed under the name uncultured bacterium. RNAcentral's name for it is "bacterial SSU rRNA". It matches the Rfam family "Bacterial small subunit ribosomal RNA", at positions 9 to 694 of the family's 1533-position model. The record is from RNAcentral.
GAGUUUGAUCCUGGCUCAGGACGAACGCUGGCGGCGUGCCUAAUACAUGCAAGUCGAGCGAGCGGAACUAACAGAUUUACUUCGGUAAUGACGUUAGGAAAGCGAGCGGCGGAUGGGUGAGUAACACGUGGGGAACCUGCCCCAUAGUCUGGGAUACCACUUGGAAACAGGUGCUAAUACCGGAUAAGAAAGCAGAUCGCAUGAUCAGCUUUUAAAAGGCGGCGUAAGCUGUCGCUAUGGGAUGGCCCCGCGGUGCAUUAGCUAGUUGGUAAGGUAAAGGCUUACCAAGGCGAUGAUGCAUAGCCGAGUUGAGAGACUGAUCGGCCACAUUGGGACUGAGACACGGCCCAAACUCCUACGGGAGGCAGCAGUAGGGAAUCUUCCACAAUGGACGCAAGUCUGAUGGAGCAACGCCGCGUGAGUGAAGAAGGUUUUCGGAUCGUAAAGCUCUGUUGUUGGUGAAGAAGGAUAGAGGUAGUAACUGGCCUUUAUUUGACGGUAAUCAACCAGAAAGUCACGGCUAACUACGUGCCGGCAGCCGCGGUAAUACGUAGGUGGCAAGCGUUGUCCGGAUUUAUUAGGCGUAAAGCGAGCGCAGGCGGAAGAAUAAGUCUGAUGUGAAAGCCCUCGGCUUAACCGAGGAAGUGCAUCGGAAACUGUUUUUCUUGAGUGCAGAAGAGGAGAGUGGAACUCCAUGUGUGGCGGUGAAAUGCGUAGA